CACUCUAAGACUAUGACUUAAAGCAAAUCCUGCUCAAUGAUAAGUUUAAAUAGCCGCAGAUCUCUGUGCUAAGGUAGCAUAAUAAAUAGCCUGCUAAUUACAGGAUAGCAUGAAAGGACAAACAUAUUUUCAUCUAUAUUUUAUUUUUCAUAAAAAUCAAACUAAAAGUAAAAAUUCUUUUGUUUUUAAGAAAGACGACAAGACCCUACAAAACUUUAACUUAAGUUUAACUGGGGCGGUCAUCAUAACCAUAUCUUAUUUCUCUUAAUAUCCUAAUCUACCUAAAUAAUUAAUCCAAGUUACUUUAGGGAUAACAGCACAAUUUUUAUCUAAAGAACUUAUCAAAAUAAAAGAUUAUGACCUCGAUGUUGAAUUAGAAUUUCUUUAUUACGCAAAAGUUUUACCAAGUAAGUCUGUUCGACUUUUAAAAUUCCACAUG
RNAcentral lists this ribosomal RNA (439 nucleotides) under Heteroonops sp. 6 GJB-2020. Its description in RNAcentral is "partial large subunit ribosomal RNA". It matches the Rfam family "Archaeal large subunit ribosomal RNA", at positions 1922 to 2673 of the family's 2987-position model. Lineage: Eukaryota; Metazoa; Arthropoda; Arachnida; Araneae; Oonopidae. The record is from RNAcentral.